GCGUCGGUGGUCUAGUGGCUAUGACUCCGGCCUUCCAAGCCGGGUACCCGGGUUCGAAUCCCGGCCGACGCA
Molecule: transfer RNA, 72 nt
Filed under: Candidatus Woesearchaeota archaeon
Lineage: Archaea; Nanobdellati; Candidatus Woesearchaeota
Description: tRNA-Gly
Rfam family: tRNA
About the family: Transfer RNA (tRNA) molecules are approximately 80 nucleotides in length.
Source: RNAcentral